Molecule: non-coding RNA, 22 nt
Filed under: Rattus norvegicus (Norway rat)
Lineage: Eukaryota; Metazoa; Chordata; Mammalia; Rodentia; Muridae
Source: RNAcentral
GACAACACCUGAGGCCCUCCCC